GAUGAACGCUGGCGGCGUGCCUAAUACAUGCUAGUCGAGCGAACGGACGAGAAGCUUGCUUCUCUGAUGUUAGCGGCGGACGGGUGAGUAACACGUGGAUAACCUACCUAUAAGACUGGGAUAACUUCGGGAAACCGUAGCUAAUACCGGAUAAUAUUUUGAACCGCAUGGUUCAAAAGUGAAAGACGGUCUUGCUGUCACUUAUAGAUGGAUCCGCGCUGCAUUAGCUAGUUGGUAAGGUAACGGCUUACCAAGGCAACGAUGCAUAGCCGACCUGAGAGGGUGAUCGGCCACACUGGAACUGAGACACGGUCCAGACUCCUACGGGAGGCAGCAGUAGGGAAUCUUCCGCAAUGGGCGAAAGCCUGACGGAGCAACGCCGCGUGAGUGAUGAAGGUCUUCGGAUCGUAAAACUCUGUUAUUAGGGAAGAACAUAUGUGUAAGUAACUGUGCACAUCUUGACGGUACCUAAUCAGAAAGCCACGGCUAACUACGUGCCAGCAGCCGCGGUAAUACGUAGGUGGCAAGCGUUAUCCGGAAUUAUUGGGCGUAAAGCGCGCGUAGGCGGUUUUUUAAGUCUGAUGUGAAAGCCCACGGCUCAACCGUGGAGGGUCAUUGGAAACUGGAAAACUUGAGUGCAGAAGAGGAAAGUGGAAUUCCAUGUGUAGCGGUGAAAUGCGCAGAGAUAUGGAGGAACACCAGUGGCGAAGGCGACUUUCUGGUCUGUAACUGACGCUGAUGUGCGAAAGCGUGGGGAUCAAACAGGAUUAGAUACCCUGGUAGUCCACGCCGUAAACGAUGAGUGCUAAGUGUUAGGGGGUUUCCGCCCCUUAGUGCUGCAGCUAACGCAUUAAGCACUCCGCCUGGGGAGUACGACCGCAAGGUUGAAACUCAAAGGAAUUGACGGGGACCCGCACAAGCGGUGGAGCAUGUGGUUUAAUUCGAAGCAACGCGAAGAACCUUACCAAAUCUUGACAUCCUUUGACAACUCUAGAGAUAGAGCCUUCCCCUUCGGGGGACAAAGUGACAGGUGGUGCAUGGUUGUCGUCAGCUCGUGUCGUGAGAUGUUGGGUUAAGUCCCGCAACGAGCGCAACCCUUAAGCUUAGUUGCCAUCAUUAAGUUGGGCACUCUAAGUUGACUGCCGGUGACAAACCGGAGGAAGGUGGGGAUGACGUCAAAUCAUCAUGCCCCUUAUGAUUUGGGCUACACACGUGCUACAAUGGACAAUACAAAGGGCAGCGAAACCGCGAGGUCAAGCAAAUCCCAUAAAGUUGUUCUCAGUUCGGAUUGUAGUCUGCAACUCGACUACAUGAAGCUGGAAUCGCUAGUAAUCGUAGAUCAGCAUGCUACGGUGAAUACGUUCCCGGGUCU
RNAcentral lists this ribosomal RNA (1372 nucleotides) under uncultured bacterium. RNAcentral describes it as "bacterial SSU rRNA". It matches the Rfam family "Bacterial small subunit ribosomal RNA", at positions 28 to 1381 of the family's 1533-position model. The record is from RNAcentral.